RNAcentral lists this ribosomal RNA (467 nucleotides) under uncultured bacterium. RNAcentral describes it as "partial 16S ribosomal RNA". It matches the Rfam family "Bacterial small subunit ribosomal RNA", at positions 28 to 507 of the family's 1533-position model. The record is from RNAcentral.
GAUGAACGCUGGCGGCGUGCUUAACACAUGCAAGUCGAACGGAAAGGCCCAAGCUUGCUUGGGUACUCGAGUGGCGAACGGGUGAGUAACACGUGGGUGGUCUGCCCUGCACUUCGGGAUAAGCCUGGGGAACUGGGUCUAAUACCGGAUAGGACCACUUCUAGGACGUUGUUGUGUAAAGUUAUUCCGGUGUGGGAUGAGCUCGCGGUCUAUCAGCUUGUUGUUGGGGUAAUGGCCUACCAAGGCGUCGACGGGUAGCCGGACUGAGAGGGUGUACGGCCAUAUUGAGUCUGAGAUGCGGCACAGGCACCUACGGGAGGCAGCAGUGGGGAAUAUUGCAGAAUGAGCGCAAGCCUGGUGAAGCGACGCCGCGUGGGGGAUGACGCCCUUCGGGUUGUAAACUCCUUUCGCUAGGGACGAAGCGUUUUGUGACGGUACCUGGAGAAGAAGCACCGGCUAACUACGUG